Non-coding RNA from Molorchus minor, 72 nucleotides. The record is from the annotation of a GenBank genome assembly. Lineage: Eukaryota; Metazoa; Arthropoda; Insecta; Coleoptera; Cerambycidae.
CGGUAGCUCAGUUGGAAGAGCAUUGGUCCGGAAACCCAAAGGUACCCCGGGUUCAAGCCCCGGUUUUAAAGA